CCCCCUGGCUAUUCGGGGCAUGCCUGUUUGAGUAUCAUGAACACCUCAACUCUCAUGGUUUUGCCGUGAUGAGCUUGGACUUUGGGGGUCUUGCUGGCCUGUGGUCGGCUCCUCUCAAAUGAAUCAGCUUGCCAGUGUUUGGUGGCGUCACAGGUGUGAUAACUAUCUACGCUUGUGGUUUCCCACCAGGUAACCUUCAGUGAUGAAGGUUCGCUGGAGCUCAUAAACGUCUCUCCUCAGCGAGGACAGCUUCUUGAAUGUUUGAUCUCAAAUCAGGUAGGGCUACCCGCUGAACUUAAGCAUAUCAAUAAGCGGAGG
RNAcentral lists this ribosomal RNA (318 nucleotides) under uncultured Tomentella. RNAcentral describes it as "eukaryotic LSU rRNA". The stretch from base 263 to 318 matches the Rfam family "Eukaryotic large subunit ribosomal RNA", at positions 1 to 56 of the family's 3401-position model. Lineage: Eukaryota; Fungi; Basidiomycota; Agaricomycetes; Thelephorales; Thelephoraceae. The record is from RNAcentral.